AUGUUUAGUUGUGUGCAUACUCUGGGGCAGGCCAACAUGAGAAGUUGUUUGCUAAGCUGUAUGAGAAAUCUGCACAUACUUCCCAAAAGCACGACGGCGACGGAAUUCUUUCAGGCCAAACAGACACCAACCCGUCAUCCAUCUGAACCUGCACCACCAGCGCCCCAUGACGCUGCCGUGACCGCGGACAGCCAAGCCGAUCCGGCACAGGCGUGCCUCCUCAUCCGACGCAGCCCUGCAAAGCACACGCCGGCGGGCGGCGGAGCAUGGAUGCCCGGCGGCGGGGUCACAGCAGAUGAUGGAGCUCGGACCGGUGGAGAAAGAGGGAGCUCAAAUGGUGGGGUUGAGGCGGACGAGAAGCUCGGACCGACCGCGCAAGAGGGAGCUCGCCCCGGCGGCGGCAGCAGCGGCAGUGGCGAUUGGUUGCUGUGA
RNAcentral lists this ribosomal RNA (432 nucleotides) under Triticum aestivum (bread wheat). RNAcentral's name for it is "partial small subunit ribosomal RNA". The record is from RNAcentral. Lineage: Eukaryota; Viridiplantae; Streptophyta; Magnoliopsida; Poales; Poaceae.